UUCAAAGGUGAAAGUGAAGUAAUGAUGCAAAGCAUGGGUAAAAUGGAGUGGUGUUGAAAUGAUUCAAAGUAAUGAUGCAUGAAAUCUGAAAUGAUGGAGGGAACAAGGAAUGGAGUAGCAAUUAAGUGCAAGGAGGGAACAUGGAUGAUGAUAAGGUAAUCUUGACUCAUGUUUCUUCUUUGGUUGCUGAGCUCUUUGUCAUUUUUACAUUAAUUCUUCUUUCUUUUUAACACAUUCCAAGCCUUUUUAGUCUUCAAUUUCGUCCGUCCACCAUACUCCAUGCAUGUGAUAUCCAUUCCAUGCCCAAAACUGCUCCAAAAUGCACCAAAAUGCACCUUAUUGCUUUAUAAGGCCUAUGGACCUACAAACACACGAAAAUAGCUUAAAAUACAUAAUUAACUAAGAAAUAACAACAUAAAUGCAUGAGAACAAGCUAACUCAAUCGCAUAAAUAUGCUCCUAUCAAUCCCUUGUCCCCUUCACCCAUUAGAUUUCAUUCACUUUCACCUCCACUACAUGCACUCAUUGAUGCACCACUCCUCCACUUUCCUUGCCCAUGCCGUGCAUCAUGAAUCCACCUGCACCUAUGACUCAUUUCUGCACCAUUCCACCUCCCUUUCCUUUAUCUACCAUGUGCCCAAUCAUUCAUGUUCCCCACUUGCAUUCAUAGCUACAACACCACUCCAUUUCACCCCCCAUGCUUUGCAUCAUUACUUCACUUUCACCUUUGAAUCAUUGCUAACACCACCAUCCAUCCCUCCAUGCCAUGCACUUCCUCUAUAAAAGGAAGUGUGUGUGGCAGCCAUUACAUUCAGUUUUUGCUAGAGAAUUCAUCCCCAUUUCGAUACAACCUUCAUCCAAACACUUCCAUUCAUCCUCACAUCCAUUCCUCCAUACAAACAAACUUUCAAACACUCACCAACACCUUGUGCCGUAGCAAAGGAAGGAAAGGAAAGUGCUUGGAUGUGCUUGCUGUCCAACUUGGAUCGUUGGAGCAUUUAGGUGUUUUCUUCCUUUUGUUUUCAAUGUCUAAAUUUAUUUAUCUUUGCUUUGUAAGUAUGAGAAACUAAACCCCCCUUAGCUAGGGGGGAAUUCGAAACUAUGUUCAUGCUUGCAAUAUGAUUUGAUUACUUUCAGUUGUGAUUCAUAAGUUGUGAAUUCAAUUUACUUAUCC
RNAcentral lists this long non-coding RNA (1173 nucleotides) under Malus domestica (apple). RNAcentral describes it as "long non-coding RNA (MDOM_LNC019172)". The record is from RNAcentral. Lineage: Eukaryota; Viridiplantae; Streptophyta; Magnoliopsida; Rosales; Rosaceae.